This 276-nucleotide unclassified non-coding RNA is filed under the name Hevea brasiliensis (rubber tree). The record is from RNAcentral. Lineage: Eukaryota; Viridiplantae; Streptophyta; Magnoliopsida; Malpighiales; Euphorbiaceae.
AUUGCAUGUAAAUAUCGUCUGCAUCAUCCAUUCCAUAGCUGACAGUUCCAUCUCCGAUCCCUUUCUCCCCCCUCUCAAGCUCUUCCAGUAAUCUGAAAUUCCUAGGCACAACAACUCUUGAUCCUUCAGAGCCCAUUGAUUAGUGAAUGUUGAAUUAGCGAACAGAAGAUUGGGGUUUUUUCUUCAGAUGAAGAGAGAGACGAACCAAGAAAAAGCAGCAAGUAAUUGUAAAAACUAAAGAGAGUAUGGAGCCCAAUUACUACUUCGCAGUAGUUC